Molecule: non-coding RNA, 120 nt
Organism: Rhypophila decipiens
Lineage: Eukaryota; Fungi; Ascomycota; Sordariomycetes; Sordariales; Naviculisporaceae
Source: the annotation of a GenBank genome assembly
GGCUGGGUGGCCGAGCGGUCUAAGGCGGUAGACUCAAGAAGAUCUUCUCUUCUUCCUCAAAGCAAUGCGAGGAGAUUUCUACUCUCGAAAGAGGCGCGCGUUCGAAUCGCGCCCCAGUCA